This 593-nucleotide ribosomal RNA is filed under the name Yarrhpelopia sp. V20. RNAcentral describes it as "partial large subunit ribosomal RNA". It matches the Rfam family "Eukaryotic large subunit ribosomal RNA", at positions 450 to 900 of the family's 3401-position model. The record is from RNAcentral. Lineage: Eukaryota; Metazoa; Arthropoda; Insecta; Diptera; Chironomidae.
UUCAAUACUGUUGCCAAAAGCAAUGGUGUGCACUUUUCUCUUAGUAAGACGUUGUGAUCCAUUAGGAAUCGAUUGUCUAUUUAAAAUUGGACAAUCAAUGGGCUACCCAAAGGCUGUGGUAUGAAGUUCAUUUUGGCAAACAACAUAAUCUUUUGGUUUUGUAUAUUGCCUUGUGAGCGUACCGUAUUCUGAUGUAGCUGCCUGAUGGAUUUUAAAGGUCAUAUCAUUGAUGCUUGCAUCACCCGAUUCGCGUUGGGAUGUUUAUGUUAUGUACCCGAUCAACAACGGUUUCAUUUGGGAUACCUUUGGGACCCGUCUUGAAACACGGACCAAGGAGUCUAUCUAGUAUGCGAGUAAAUGGGAUUAAAAAACCUAUUUGCGUAAAUAACUUGACUGUAAUUUAAUGGGAUUACGUGCAUUUAUAUAUGUACUUCCAUCCCGGGGUAUUUUCAUCACUUAUAUGGGCAACUAUAUAAAGAAAAUAUACCAUGAGCAUACUGGACAUGACCCGAAAGAUGGUGAACUAUGCCUGAUCAGGUUGAAGUCAGGGGAAACCCUGAUGGAGGACCGAAGCAAUUCUGACGUGCAAAUCG